Molecule: transfer RNA, 87 nt
Filed under: Thioalkalivibrio sulfidiphilus HL-EbGr7
Lineage: Bacteria; Pseudomonadati; Pseudomonadota; Gammaproteobacteria; Chromatiales; Ectothiorhodospiraceae
Description: Thioalkalivibrio sulfidophilus HL-EbGr7 tRNA
Rfam family: tRNA
About the family: Transfer RNA (tRNA) molecules are approximately 80 nucleotides in length. Their secondary structure includes four short double-helical elements and three loops (D, anti-codon, and T loops).
Source: Rfam by way of RNAcentral
GGAGAGGUGGCAGAGCGGUUGAUUGCACCGGUCUUGAAAACCGGAGACGGGGUAACCCGUUCGUGGGUUCGAAUCCCACCCUCUCCG